GACUAUCGACAACGAAUAUCUCGGAUCUCGCAUUGAUGAAGAAGGUAGAGAAAUGCGAUGCUUGGUGUGAAUAUUAGAAUCACAUGAACCAUCGAGUCUUUGAACGCAAGUUGUGCCCGAAGCCAUUUGGCCGAGGGCAUGUCUGCCUGGGCGUCA
This 156-nucleotide ribosomal RNA is filed under the name Solanum lycopersicum (tomato). RNAcentral describes it as "5.8S ribosomal RNA". It matches the Rfam family "5.8S ribosomal RNA". From Rfam's summary of the family: 5.8S ribosomal RNA (5.8S rRNA) is a component of the large subunit of the eukaryotic ribosome. Lineage: Eukaryota; Viridiplantae; Streptophyta; Magnoliopsida; Solanales; Solanaceae. The record is from Rfam by way of RNAcentral.